Molecule: ribosomal RNA, 492 nt
Filed under: uncultured bacterium
Lineage: Bacteria
Description: partial 16S ribosomal RNA
Rfam family: Bacterial small subunit ribosomal RNA
Source: RNAcentral
AGUGAACGCUGGCGGUAGGCCUAACACAUGCAAGUCGAACGGAAGCACAGUAAGAGCUUGCUCUUACGGGUGGCGAGUGGCGGACGGGUGAGGAAUACAUCGGAAUCUACUUUUUCGUGGGGGAUAACGUAGGGAAACUUACGAUAAUACCGCAUACGACCUACGGGUGAAAGCAGGGGAUCUUCGGACCUUGCGCGAUUGAAUGAGACGAUGUCGGGUUAGCUAGUUGGCGGGGUAAAGGCCCACCAAGGCGACGAUCCGUAGCUGGUCUGAGAGGAUGAUCAGCCACACUGGAACUGAGACACGGUCCAGACUCCUACGGGAGGCAGCAGUGGGGAAUAUUGGACAAUGGGCGCAAGCCUGAUCCAGCCAUACCGCGUGGGUGAAGAAGGCCUUCGGGUUGUAAAGCCCUUUUGUUGGGAAAGAAAAGCAGCAGGUUAAUACCCCGCUGUUCUGACGGUACCCAAAGAAUAAGCACCGGCUAACUUCGUG